CAUUGAAUAAAAAAUAAAGAGCUAUAUAACCUUGUUAUUAACGUUGAUAUAAAAGAUAUACCCUGAAAAAUUGACUAGACUAAUACUGUGAGGACCCGUGCAGACGUCAAUAUAGUCUCACAUCAAUUAUUCGUUGGAUAGAUCUUGCAUACUUAUACAUAAUUAAAAAAUCUAAAUAAUACAUUCCGACUAAUUUUUUGGGGUGAGAUUCUAGGUUGUUGUAAAUAGUAUCAGAGCGACUUGGCCUAUAACGUAUGUAAACUAGGAGACAUUACAGUAUGGAUCAUUGGGGCUAACCAUGCGCCGAUCGUGGUGCUUGUGAUUAGAUUUAAACCCUCCUCGAGAACGUCAGGGA
This 355-nucleotide long non-coding RNA is filed under the name Phoenix dactylifera (date palm). RNAcentral describes it as "long non-coding RNA (PDAC_LNC004063)". Lineage: Eukaryota; Viridiplantae; Streptophyta; Magnoliopsida; Arecales; Arecaceae. The record is from RNAcentral.